AUUGAACGCUGCGGCAGGCUUAACACAUGCAAGUCGAGCGAGCGGCGGACGGGUGAGUAAUGCUUAGGAAUCUGCCUAUUCGUGGGGGACAACAUCUCGAACGGGAUGCUAAUACUGCAUACUAUUACAUGAGCCUAAGUCGGCUUAGCUAGUUGGUGGGGUAAAGGUCUACCAAGGCGAUGAUCUGUAGCGGGUCUGCGAGGAUGAUCCGCCACACUGGGACUGAGACACGGCCCAGACUCCUACGGGAGGCAGCAGUUGGGAAUAUUGGACAAUGGGGGGAACCCUGAUCCAGCCAGGCCGAGUGGUUGAAGAAGGCCUUAUGGUUGGAAAGCACUUUAAGCGAGGAGGCGUUACUCGCAGAAUAAGCACCGGCUAACUCUGUGCCAGCAGCCGCGGUAAUUC
Molecule: ribosomal RNA, 405 nt
Filed under: uncultured bacterium
Lineage: Bacteria
Description: partial 16S ribosomal RNA
Rfam family: Bacterial small subunit ribosomal RNA
Source: RNAcentral